GACGAACGCUGGCGGCGUGCUUAACACAUGCAAGUCGAACGGAAAGGCCCUGCUUUUGUGGGGUGCUCGAGUGGCGAACGGGUGAGUAACACGUGAGUAACCUGCCCUUGACUUUGGGAUAACUUCAGGAAACUGGGGCUAAUACCGGAUAGGAGCUCCUGCUGCAUGGUGGGGGUUGGAAAGUUUCGGCGGUUGGGGAUGGACUCGCGGCUUAUCAGCUUGUUGGUGGGGUAGUGGCUUACCAAGGCUUUGACGGGUAGCCGGCCUGAGAGGGUGACCGGCCACAUUGGGACUGAGAUACGGCCCAGACUCCUACGGGAGGCAGCAGUGGGGAAUAUUGCACAAUGGGCGGAAGCCUGAUGCAGCAACGCCGCGUGAGGGAUGACGGCCUUCGGGUUGUAAACCGCUUUCGCCUGUGACGAAGCGUGAGUGACGGUAAUGGGUAAAGAAGCACCGGCUAACUAAGUG
This 468-nucleotide ribosomal RNA is filed under the name uncultured bacterium. RNAcentral's name for it is "partial 16S ribosomal RNA". It matches the Rfam family "Bacterial small subunit ribosomal RNA", at positions 28 to 507 of the family's 1533-position model. The record is from RNAcentral.